AACGAACGCUGGCGGCAUGCCUAACACAUGCAAGUCGAACGAGACCUUCGGGUCUAGUGGCGCACGGGUGCGUAACGCGUGGGAAUCUGCCCUUGGGUUCGGAAUAACAGUGAGAAAUUACUGCUAAUACCGGAUGAUGUCUUCGGACCAAAGAUUUAUCGCCCAGGGAUGAGCCCGCGUAGGAUUAGCUAGUUGGUGGGGUAAUGGCCUACCAAGGCGACGAUCCUUAGCUGGUCUGAGAGGAUGAUCAGCCACACUGGGACUGAGACACGGCCCAGACUCCUACGGGAGGCAGCAGUGGGGAAUAUUGGACAAUGGGCGCAAGCCUGAUCCAGCAAUGCCGCGUGAGUGAUGAAGGCCUUAGGGUUGUAAAGCUCUUUUACCCGGGAUGAUAAUGACAGUACCGGGAGAGUAAGCUCCGGCUAACUCCGUG
RNAcentral lists this ribosomal RNA (433 nucleotides) under uncultured bacterium. RNAcentral describes it as "partial 16S ribosomal RNA". It matches the Rfam family "Bacterial small subunit ribosomal RNA", at positions 29 to 507 of the family's 1533-position model. The record is from RNAcentral.